GACGAACGCUGGCGGCGUGCUUAACACAUGCAAGUCGAACGGACAGGCCCUGCUUUUGUGGGGUGCUCGAGUGGCGAACGGGUGAGUAACACGUGAGUAACCUGCCCUUGACUUUGGGAUAACUUCAGGAAACUGGGGCUAAUACCGGAUAGGAGCUCUUGCUGCAUGGUGGGGGUUGGAAAGUUUCGGCGGUUGGGGAUGGACUCGCGGCUUAUCAGCUUGUUGGUGGGGUAGUGGCUUACCAAGGCUUUGACGGGUAGCCGGCCUGAGAGGGUGACCGGCCACAUUGGGACUGAGAGACGGCCCAGACUCCUACGGGAGGCAGCAGUGGGGUAUAUUGCACAAUGGGCGGAAGCCUGAUGCAGCAACGCCGCGUGCGGGAUGACGGCCUUCGGGUUGUAAACCGCUUUCGCCUGUGACGAAGCGUUAGUGACGGUAAUGGGUAAAGAAGCACCGGCUAACUACGUG
RNAcentral lists this ribosomal RNA (468 nucleotides) under uncultured bacterium. RNAcentral describes it as "partial 16S ribosomal RNA". It matches the Rfam family "Bacterial small subunit ribosomal RNA", at positions 28 to 507 of the family's 1533-position model. The record is from RNAcentral.